This 450-nucleotide ribosomal RNA is filed under the name uncultured bacterium. Its description in RNAcentral is "bacterial SSU rRNA". It matches the Rfam family "Bacterial small subunit ribosomal RNA", at positions 28 to 475 of the family's 1533-position model. The record is from RNAcentral.
GACGAACGCUGGCGGCAUGCUUAACACAUGCAAGUCGAACGGAGCACCCCUGAACGAGGUUUCGGCCGAAGUGACGGGAAUGCUUAGUGGCGGACGGGUGAGUAACGCGUGAGCAACCUGCCUUGAAGUGGGGGACAACAGUUGGAAACGACUGCUAAUACCGCAUAAUAUAUCUGAGUCGCAUGGCUUGGAUAUCAAAGAUUUAUCGCUUCAAGAUGGGCUCGCGUCUGAUUAGGUAGUUGGCGGGGUAACGGCCCACCAAGCCGACGAUCAGUAGCCGGACUGAGAGGUUGAACGGCCACAUUGGGACUGAGAUACGGCCCAGACUCCUACGGGAGGCAGCAGUGGGGAAUAUUGGGCAAUGGGCGCAAGCCUGACCCAGCAAUGCCGCGUGAAGGAAGAAGGCUUUCGGGUUGUAAACUUCUUUGACAGGGGAAGAGCAGAAGACGG